CUCAUCUUUAACGCUGUAAAUUAUUUACAUCAGAAGCAAAGAGACACUAGGCCAGGCAGAAAUGGUGACAUCCAUGUGCUGGUUUAUGCUUCCUCUUUCGUAUACUGCGUCUGAGCAUCCUCUUGAGCCUGAGCAUGCUGGUAUUAAAGGGACCUUGACUCAGAGCCCUCUAGCCAGACCGAAAAUUACCUGUGACCUGAGAAGGCUUUUUCAUGAGUGACAAAACUGGCUUACCAGCAGUUUCCCCCUGAGGACAAAGAAGCUGCAGGCUUGUUUUGAUUUCAGUACCAUCCAUAAAGGCAGAGCUGGGGACCGAACCCAGAGCCUUGCGCUUGCUAGGCAAGCGCUCUACCACUGAGCUAAAUCCCCAACCCCUCAAACUCUUUUUAAAAUUAAAUUCGUAUUUCUGUGGGUGCAUGUGUAUUUGUAUGUGCACACAAGUGCAGGUUCCUGUGAUGGCCAGAGAGGGCGCUGGAUCCCUAGGAGCUGGAGUAUAGGUUGCUGUGAACACUCUCAUAGGAGUACUGGGAAAUAAACUGAGAUGUUCAGCCAGAGCCAUUUGUGCUUGACUGCUGAACCAUCUCUGUAGCCUCUGACCUUGAACUCUGGAUUGUUCUACUUCUACCUGUGAGUGCUGGGAUUAUAGGCAUGCAUGCGCCAUGCUAGGCUUGUGAGUGUUAUAGAUGGAACCCAGGGCUUUCUGCUUGCUAUGUAAGCAAUUUACCAACUAAGGCACAACCACAGCACCUCCCCCUCCCCCUUCUUCAUCCCAGUGUUGGGAAUUAAACCAGGGACAUUACAGACACUGAGUAAGUUUGUUCUAUCAUUGAGCUACAUCCCUAGCCUAGAAACUGUAUGUUUUAUUUUAUAUCUGUAUUCCACACAUUUAAUUCUAACAAUUAUGAGGCAGAGGCAGGCUGUGAGUUCAAGGUCAACCGGGUCUACAUAGCUAGUUCCAGACCAGCCAGAACCUCAUAGUGAGAGACCCCCAAACACAUCGAAGCCAUAUAUAUAUAUUACAUAUACAUAUAAUAUUAUAUAUUACAUAUAUAUAUUACAUAUUUUGCCUGCACAUACAUACGUUUGUUCACCACAUUUGUGCAGUGCCCUGGAAGCCAUUCGAUCCACUGGGACUCGAGUCACAGACGGUUGUGAGCCACCAAUAUGGGUGCUGGGAAUUGAAACAGGGGUCAUUUGGAAGAAUAACCACUGAGCCACCUCCCCAACCCCAGAGACUGUUUUUAAUCCCUCAUUGUUUCACCUCAGUAUCAACACCAACUCUGUGGGGAAGAGCAGGUUAUGUUAUUCCUGAGAACACUGAGGUACACGGGUUAGCAACCGAUUCAAAGUUGCCCAGUGAACAUGCUGUCUGACUGUUGUUUGUGCCUUUGACCUCGGGCCUCAGAGACAAGGGCUGAAAGAGCACCAGGCUCCUUCAGAUCCAGCCGCAGCAGAGGCAGCUUGGAUCGUUCCAGGGAGCCCCGGGUAGGCGGUCUUGAGGAGAGGCUGCACAGGAAAUUUGGUCUAUUGUUUGAAACAAGAGGUGCAAACAAGUCCUGGACUUUGAAGUGCUGAGUAACAGAUUCCUCUGGGAGCAGA
This is a non-coding RNA of Rattus norvegicus (Norway rat), 1599 nucleotides long. Lineage: Eukaryota; Metazoa; Chordata; Mammalia; Rodentia; Muridae. The record is from RefSeq and is a predicted model, not a curated record.